RNAcentral lists this ribosomal RNA (428 nucleotides) under Streptococcus suis. RNAcentral's name for it is "bacterial SSU rRNA". It matches the Rfam family "Bacterial small subunit ribosomal RNA", at positions 218 to 638 of the family's 1533-position model. Lineage: Bacteria; Bacillati; Bacillota; Bacilli; Lactobacillales; Streptococcaceae. The record is from RNAcentral.
CUAUGAGAUGGACCUGCGUUGUAUUAGCUAGUUGGUGAGGUAACGGCUCACCAAGGCAUCGAUACAUAGCCGACCUGAGAGGGUGAUCGGCCACACUGGGACUGAGACACGGCCCAGACUCCUACGGGAGGCAGCAGUAGGGAAUCUUCGGCAAUGGGGGCAACCCUGACCGAGCAACGCCGCGUGAGUGAAGAAGGUUUUCGGAUCGUAAAGCUCUGUUGUAAGAGAAGAACUGUGAGAAGAGUGGAAAAUUUCUCACUUGACGGUGUCUUACCAGAAAGGGACGGCUAACUACGUGCCAGCAGCCGCGGUAAUACGUAGGUCCCGAGCGUUGUCCGGAUUUAUUGGGCGUAAAGCGAGCGCAGGCGGUUUGAUAAGUCUGAAGUAAAAGGCUGUGGCUUAACCAUAGUACGCUUUGGAAACUGUCA